CCGGCGGCGGUGGGUCCCUGGGGCCCAGAUCGUUUACCGUGAAAAAAUUAGAGUGUUCAAAGCAGGCAGAUCCAAUUUUCUGCCACCGAAUACAUUAGCAUGGGAUAAUGGAAUAGGACCCUGUCCUCCUAUUUUCAGUUGGUUUUGGCAGCGCGAGGACUAGGGUAAUGAUUAAUAGGGAUAGUUGGGGGCAUUAAUAUUUAAUUGUCAGAGGUGAAAUUCUUGGAUUUAUGAAAGAUUAACUUCUGCGAAAGCAUCUGCCAAGGAUGUUUUCAUUAAUCAAGAACGAAAGUUAGGGGAUCGAAGACGAUCAGAUACCGUCGUAGUCUUAACCAUAAACGAUGCCGACCAGCGAUUAGGAGACGUUGAAUACAAAACACCACCAUCGGUGCGGUCGUCCUUGGCGUCGGUCUUUCGGGGCCGGCGCGGGGACGGCUUAGCCCGGUGGCACCGGUGAAUGACUCCCCUAGCAGCUUGUGAGAAAUCAUAA
This 490-nucleotide ribosomal RNA is filed under the name Acanthamoeba sp. CDC # V087. RNAcentral's name for it is "SSU rRNA". It matches the Rfam family "Eukaryotic small subunit ribosomal RNA", at positions 719 to 1102 of the family's 1831-position model. Lineage: Eukaryota; Discosea; Longamoebia; Acanthamoebidae. The record is from RNAcentral.